Molecule: non-coding RNA, 943 nt
Organism: Hydra vulgaris (swiftwater hydra)
Lineage: Eukaryota; Metazoa; Cnidaria; Hydrozoa; Anthoathecata; Hydridae
Source: RefSeq, a predicted model, not a curated record
CAGCGCUCAAUUAAGCUGUUAUGUUUUUUUUUGGUGUUACUAAUUUAUUUUUUCUGAAACAUGUUUUUCUUAGUGUUCAUUCUUAAUCAUCCUUAAUAAUAAGAACCAUACUAACAUGUAUAAUAAGAUCUAUACUAAUAUCUAACUUAAGUAAUAGCUAAGUUUUAUAUGUUUUGUCAUUCAAAGCAUGUAUAUUCUUAGCAUUUUCAUUACAGUAGAUAGUAAUUUUAAACAUUUUGUAAAAACCAUUGUUAAAAAUCGUCAGGAAAAUUCAUCUGAUUUUUCAAAAAAGUCAUUUAAUUUUAUAUAAAUAGUUGGCUACGAACCCUGUUGGAGAAACAUUGUUUUAAUAUGAGUUUUUUUGUUUUACAUUGCAAUGUGUAUCUCAAACAAUAAUAAGAAUUGUUUUGUGUCAGUCCCAGAAAUUGAAUGCGCACCUGCAAAUUUCAUAAUUCAUAAAAAUAUUAUGAAUCCAUUAGCAAAUAAAGUUGUAUCCUUGAAAGAUAUGCUGGUAUUAUUGGCACAAUGGGCAAGCAUUAAAGUGUAACUUGGUGAACUACAAAAUACAUCAAAUUCAGUUAUAAAAAUUUGAGUAUCAAAGGUAUGCUAAUUAUUGUAUUGCCUGAAAGAGUGUCAUUGCCAUUAAAAGCAGUGAAGAAUUCAAGUACUUUGGAAGAAAAAAGACAAGAAAACACUUCAGUAAAUGGCUGUGUAUUUUUGCAAGUUAAUUAUUUGGCACAAAUUGGAGUUAAAGACGAAGGAGAUUGUAUAUGUUAUUUACUAAGAAUAGUUUAUUAAAAUGGCCUAGCUCUAAAAUUAAGUUAUGCAGGGAGAGGAUAAAAAAUUGGAAUAGGAAAAAUGUUGAUUGCAUAUGCUGCUAUUGAAACUGUGAAGUCAAUUAAGCAUGGCUUAUGCAGACAUGUGAUAGAGAUAGCGGAAGAAA